AGUUCUGGACUUGGCACCCAAAUAUGCAGCAUUUCUCAACUCCAUCUCCAACGUUUUGUUUACCUCAUCUGGCAUCGUGACCCCAACAUUGGUAGGAUUUGUGGUGACCACUCACAGUAAAGCACAAUGGGAUAUUUGCUUCAUCAUGUUCGGCAGCAUUAAUCUACUUGUGGGCCUAAUUUUCUUACAUUACGGGUCUGGGGAACUUCAACCAUGGGCCAACUAUACUGGAAAACGUUCACGUGUCGAGGAUAUCAGAAGAACUCAUUGAAAUUUAUGACGUUAAAAAUAAACUGUACAAUCGGUUUUACAAUUUUUUUUUGUAAUAAUUUCUAAUUAAAUUUUAUCGGAACCUG
This is a long non-coding RNA of Planococcus citri (citrus mealybug), 356 nucleotides long. RefSeq lists it as uncharacterized. The transcript has 2 exons. NCBI's taxonomy places the organism in Eukaryota, Metazoa, Arthropoda, Insecta, Hemiptera, Pseudococcidae. The record is from RefSeq and is a predicted model, not a curated record.